UGUAGUUCAGUAAACUGAUAUAUAAAAAUGAGCUAUUCCUGGUUACCCUACCUCAGUUAGAGUAGAUUGAACUUCUUCUUCUUCACCGAGACCAGCACUUGUCAAUUUGCCAUCAUCAAAACAGCCUGCAGACACUUUCAUUGGUCCGUUAGAAAUUUUCAUUAGCAAGCGUAGUCUUCUUGGAGCAUUGCCCUGAUUUAAAAUGUUGUCUAAACUUGGUUUUUCCUGAGGCCCACGGGUCCUAAAGUUGAAUCCAGUUCCAAGAGUUUCAUAGUCUUCUAACGGUUGUUGCAGAGGCUGGUAGGCUGUAGUCCUCAUUCCAGUUACACCACCGUUAUUCACAUGAUUCCUCAGACUGGUUAAUUGUUGCAAAUUAUUAAAAUCACCAAUUGCAGAAUUAGUAGAUGAAGUUGCUUGGCCAACGCAAUAGUUUUCAGGACCACCAAUAUGUCCACCUAUGAAUACUGGAUCAUAUGGCGCAGUUUGGGUAAGGCUGGACUCUAAGGAAGUUAGCAUUUGCACGGAGUUCUUGUCAUCAACAAACCCACCAGGCCACCCAGGACCUCCAACGUCCGACUCAUUCUGGUAAAGAAUUUCAAAACAUAAAAAAUUAAGUUAGAAUCCAACUGUAAACUAAAUCUCAUUGCCUUCAAAGUGAAAAAAAAAUGCAAAAAAUGAGGCAGAAACUCAAACUCAAGCUUUAGAAAACCAAACAGGAAACAACUAAUGGCUACAUACAAAGGAAAUAAAUGCUAGAAGUUAUCUCUUUACCUGAACUGGCAACAUUUCAGUGUAUAUGCCAUUUUCUUUGACAUAGGAGGUUUCUGGUGGCAUUGCCUUCGAAAUGAAUGCAUUACCAGACAAGGGCAUUUCGGUUCCAGCAACCAAGUUUUUCCAACUGUUAGACUCUUCAGAGAAGUUAGCACGGUUAUUCAAGGCCUCAUCCAACAAUGGGAAAGAUAUAUCUUGUUUGCUAGUCCCAUCCUGGAAAUGGAAUCCAUUUUGAUCAUGGCCAAAGUCGCUUGCAUAAGGGGAAUCCAUAUAGGGCGGCAGAUCUUCAAAAAAAUGUGAGUUCAUUGGUGAGAAGACUUUAUAAUCAAUUUCAUCACAAUUUGAUUCAUACAAGUCUGAAUUGCUUCCCAAGAGCGGAUAUUUUUGUGUUAAUAAGCAAGAAAACAGUUCUUGUCAAGAGUCAUGGUAUAGUCAAUAUAAAACAAUGAUGCAUGCAACAAUGCUAGAAUAUAGAUAACUUGUUGACUUCUACCAAGGUUUCUUCAGCUGCGUGAUCUUCUGCAUCAGAAGUCAUAUGACUAUUGCAGCAGCUGUCACCCGUUAUUUGACCAUUUCGCAUGGAAGUAUCGGGAUUCUGAG
This 1371-nucleotide long non-coding RNA is filed under the name Gossypium barbadense (sea-island cotton). RNAcentral's name for it is "long non-coding RNA (GBAR_LNC014965)". The record is from RNAcentral. Lineage: Eukaryota; Viridiplantae; Streptophyta; Magnoliopsida; Malvales; Malvaceae.